This 497-nucleotide ribosomal RNA is filed under the name uncultured bacterium. Its description in RNAcentral is "partial 16S ribosomal RNA". It matches the Rfam family "Bacterial small subunit ribosomal RNA", at positions 28 to 507 of the family's 1533-position model. The record is from RNAcentral.
GAUGAACGCUGGCGGCGUGCCUAAUACAUGCAAGUCGAGCGAACAGACGAGGAGCUUGCUCCUCUGACGUUAGCGGCGGACGGGUGAGUAACACGUGGAUAACCUACCUAUAAGACUGGGAUAACUUCGGGAAGCCGGAGCUAAUACCGGAUAAUAUGUUGAAUCGCAUGGUUCAACAGUGAAAGACGGUCUUGCUGUCACUUAUAGAUGGAUCCGCGCCGCAUUAGCUAGUUGGUAAGGUAACGGCUUACCAAGGCAACGAUGCGUAGCCGACCUGAGAGGGUGAUCGGCCACACUGGAACUGAGACACGGUCCAGACUCCUACGGGAGGCAGCAGUAGGGAAUCUUCCGCAAUGGGCGAAAGCCUGACGGAGCAACGCCGCGUGAGUGAAGAAGGUCUUCGGAUCGUAAAACUCUGUUAUUAGGGAAGAACAAAUGUGUAAGUAACUAUGCACGUCUUGACGGUACCUAAUCAGAAAGCCACGGCUAACUACGUG